UACGGAGGGGGCUAGCGUUGUUCGGAAUUACUGGGCGUAAAGCGCACGUAGGCGGAUUGUUUAGUCGGGGGUGAAAUCCCGGGGCUCAACCCCGGAACGGCCUCCGAUACUGGCAAUCUGGAGGAUGAGAGAGGCGAGUGGAAUUCCGAGUGUAGAGGUGAAAUUCGUAGAUAUUCGGAGGAACACCAGUGGCGAAGGCGGCUCGCUGGCUCAUUUCUGACGCUGAGGUGCGAAAGCGUGGGGAGCAAACAGG
Molecule: ribosomal RNA, 253 nt
Filed under: uncultured bacterium
Lineage: Bacteria
Description: partial 16S ribosomal RNA
Rfam family: Bacterial small subunit ribosomal RNA
Source: RNAcentral